AGAAGCAACAGAUUUGGAAGGACAUAUCAAACAGAGUCAGUGCUUGCGGGUCCUCUAUCCGCUCAUCAGAGGAUGUCAAAAAACAAAUGGACCACUCUAAAGAGUGACACAAGGAGGAAAGCCACUAGCCUAAAGAAGGCUAUAUUCCGGGGAGG
This is a long non-coding RNA of Haliotis rubra (blacklip abalone), 155 nucleotides long. RefSeq lists it as uncharacterized. The transcript is spliced from 3 exons. The record is from RefSeq and is a predicted model, not a curated record. NCBI's taxonomy places the organism in Eukaryota, Metazoa, Mollusca, Gastropoda, Lepetellida, Haliotidae.